GACGAACGCUGGCGGCGUGCUUAACACAUGCAAGUCGAACGAGAGGACAAGAGAAGCUUGCUUCUUUUGGAAUCGAGUGGCAAACGGGUGAGUAACACGUAAACAACCUGCCUUCAGGAUGGGGACGAACAGACGGAAACGACUGCUAAUACCGAAUACGCUUGGGAGACCGCAUGAUCUACCAAGGAAAGGGUGGCCUCUACCUGUAAGCUAUCGCCUGAAGAGGGGUUUGCGUCUGAUUAGGCAGUUGGUGAGGUAACGGCCCACCAAACCUACGAUCAGUAGCCGGUCUGAGAGGAUGAACGGCCACACUGGAACUGAGACACGGUCCAUACUCCUACGGGAGGCAGCAGUAGGGGAAUUUUUGCGCAAUGGGCGAAAGCCUGACGCAGCAACGCCGCGUGUGUGAUGACGCCCUUCGGGUGUAAACACUGUCAUAGGGACGGAAAUUUUGUACGGUACCGUACCAGAGGAA
Molecule: ribosomal RNA, 475 nt
Filed under: uncultured bacterium
Lineage: Bacteria
Description: bacterial SSU rRNA
Rfam family: Bacterial small subunit ribosomal RNA
Source: RNAcentral